AUACUCUGAUUUCUCUUCAGAUCAUAUAAAUGUUUUGCUUUUUACUAAAGAUUUCUGUAGAAAGGGAUGACUGAGUCUUAAGCCAAUUUUUGGGGUCCUUGUUUCAUCAAGCUC
This is a small nuclear RNA of Mustela putorius furo (domestic ferret), 114 nucleotides long. Its record names the gene U5. It matches the Rfam family "U5 spliceosomal RNA". Rfam says of the family: U5 RNA is a component of both types of known spliceosome. The precise function of this molecule is unknown, though it is known that the 5' loop is required for splice site selection and p220 binding, and that both the 3' stem-loop and the Sm site are important for Sm protein binding and cap methylation. NCBI's taxonomy places the organism in Eukaryota, Metazoa, Chordata, Mammalia, Carnivora, Mustelidae. The record is from Ensembl.